Molecule: ribosomal RNA, 30 nt
Filed under: Nerita planospira
Lineage: Eukaryota; Metazoa; Mollusca; Gastropoda; Cycloneritida; Neritidae
Description: partial 5.8S rRNA
Source: RNAcentral
ACUACUUAGGCGGUGGAUCACUCGGCUCGU